Mobula hypostoma (lesser devil ray) is the source of this 364-nucleotide non-coding RNA. The record is from the annotation of a RefSeq genome assembly. NCBI's taxonomy places the organism in Eukaryota, Metazoa, Chordata, Chondrichthyes, Myliobatiformes, Myliobatidae.
CUCGACAAACACCAUGCGGCUGGGUUACGUGGCUUUUGUGAUACUUUUCCUCCGCAGAUGUCUCGGUGCUGAAUUGAUACAGUCUCCGAUGUCCAUCACCGAAAAUGUGGGCAAACGUGCCGACCUGAUCUGCGAUCUGGGCACAGCGAACACGGACGUAAUCCACUGGUACCGGCAGCCAGAUGGCCAACGCCCGGUCUGGAUCCUAUAUUACCGUAAUGGGGGCAACGUACACGACGAUGGAAUUGAUACCAAAUUUAAAGCGAGAAAUUUUGGAGAAAAGCAUUAUAUUCUAAUUGUGACCCGUCUCGAGAAAGAGGAUUCCGGCACCUAUUACUGUGCCUAUUGGGACCCACAGAGUUAA